ACUUUUCUUUAAGUCAGGCCGGGUUAACCGGCCGGGCCGCAAGGCAGCGGUUUUGCCCGCGGGACCCAU
This 69-nucleotide non-coding RNA is filed under the name Pelotomaculum thermopropionicum SI. The record is from RNAcentral. Lineage: Bacteria; Bacillati; Bacillota; Clostridia; Eubacteriales; Desulfotomaculaceae.